This 503-nucleotide ribosomal RNA is filed under the name uncultured bacterium. RNAcentral's name for it is "partial 16S ribosomal RNA". It matches the Rfam family "Bacterial small subunit ribosomal RNA", at positions 30 to 523 of the family's 1533-position model. The record is from RNAcentral.
AUUGAACGCUGGCGGCAGGCUUAACACAUGCAAGUCGAGCGGGGUGAUGGUGCUUGCACUAUCACUUAGCGGCGGACGGGUGAGUAAUGCUUAGGAAUCUGCCUAUUAGUGGGGGACAACAUCUCGAAAGGGAUGCUAAUACCGCAUACGUCCUACGGGAGAAAGCAGGGGAUCACUUGUGACCUUGCGCUAAUAGAUGAGCCUAAGUCGGAUUAGCUAGUUGGUGGGGUAAAGGCCUACCAAGGCGACGAUCUGUAGCGGGUCUGAGAGGAUGAUCCGCCAAACUGGGCCGGAGACACGGCCCAGACUCCUACGGGAGGCAGAAGUGGGGAAUAUUGGACAAUGGGGGGAACCCUGAUCCAGCCAUGCCGCGUGUGUGAAGAAGGCCUUAUGGUUGUAAAGCACUUUAAGCGGGGAGGAGGCUCUUUUGGUUAAUACCCAAGAUGAGUGGACGUUACUCGCAGAAUAAGCACCGGCUAACUCUGUGCCAGCCGCCGCCGUAA